Siniperca chuatsi (mandarin fish) is the source of this 484-nucleotide long non-coding RNA. RefSeq lists it as uncharacterized. The record is from RefSeq and is a predicted model, not a curated record. Lineage: Eukaryota; Metazoa; Chordata; Actinopteri; Centrarchiformes; Sinipercidae. The transcript has 3 exons.
UGCUGCAUGUCAUCCCUACAUUUCCUGUCUCUCUUUAGCUGUUCCAAAACAAUUGCUCGACAUACUAUAAAUUCAGGAAAUCAGUUCUGAAGAAGCCAGAUCAAUACAGGUGAAGGAAAUCCUGUGUGGAGGCUUUAACAUAAUCACUACCACCUGUUCACAAACCCAUGUUCACCAGCUAUUAAGGAUGUACCCUGCCUGUUGUCCAAUGUGAGCUGGGAUUCAGACCGCUGCAACCCUGAAGGAUAAGUGGGUAAAGAUAUCGGAAGAAUGGAUGGACGGGAUAGACUCCAGCUGAAACUAAUCAAAGGUGGACAAGUAAGGACCACUGAACACGCCUGAACUUGUCGGUUCGAGCCACUGGUUGUAGGACAAGAAGGAGAGAUUUUGCUGAAAACAACUGCCUGCUGCUGCUGCAAACAUUGAGGAUGUGGUCAAUAUGUGGUGAAUAAAGUUUAUUAGAAUUGUCAAUGGACAAAAUCAA